UACGGGGGGGGCAAGCGUUGUUCGGAAUUACUGGGCGUAAAGGGCUCGUAGGCGGCCAACUAAGUCAGACGUGAAAUCCCUCGGCUUAACCGGGGAACUGCGUGUGAUACUGGAUGGCUUGGAUUUGGGAGAGGGAUGCGGAAUUCCAGGUGUAGCGGUGAAAUGCGUAGAUAUCUGGAGGAACACCGGUGGCGAAGGCGGCAUCCUGGACCAAUAUUGACGCUGAGGAGCGAAAGCCAGGGGAGCAAACGGG
RNAcentral lists this ribosomal RNA (253 nucleotides) under uncultured bacterium. RNAcentral describes it as "partial 16S ribosomal RNA". It matches the Rfam family "Bacterial small subunit ribosomal RNA", at positions 524 to 776 of the family's 1533-position model. The record is from RNAcentral.